GUGACCGGGGCUAAGUCGUAACAAGGUAGCCGUACCGGAAGGUGCGGCUGGAACACCUCCUUU
Molecule: ribosomal RNA, 63 nt
Filed under: Prevotellaceae bacterium
Lineage: Bacteria; Pseudomonadati; Bacteroidota; Bacteroidia; Bacteroidales; Prevotellaceae
Description: partial 16S ribosomal RNA
Rfam family: Bacterial small subunit ribosomal RNA
Source: RNAcentral